Molecule: non-coding RNA, 749 nt
Organism: Paramisgurnus dabryanus
Lineage: Eukaryota; Metazoa; Chordata; Actinopteri; Cypriniformes; Cobitidae
Source: RefSeq, a predicted model, not a curated record
CACCCCAAUGACCAGACAGACGAGUAUACUAUAAUUAAAAUAAACUUUAUUAAAUAUUUAAAAGGAAAGGGGAGAAAGGGGGAAGGGCAAUUUAAAACUAAAGUGUCUCUUCUCCGCCUCCAGGGCCACUUGAGGGGAAAGACUGGGGACAGGGGCUCCGUAGGGGCUCUGGCCCAACAAUCCGUGGCGCGCUCCGCUUCUCCUGGAGGCAGAAUCAAACAAAAGUCAGAAAGAUAAGGUACUUUGAUGCCAAACGCUGUUCGUCCACCCGAGACCUUCGGCAGAACAGGUAAGUAAGGGUUUGCACACAGGUCAAGUUUACUCCUCAGGUUUCGCUAUCCCCGGUGCUGAAGGCCCUUCCUCCACGCAGGGGUUCACUUGGACAGGUAGGUAUCUGCUGGGAGCACGGAACAGUUUUACUUCACAGGUUAUGUUACUCACAGCGCUGGGGGAUCUUCGUGUCCACAGGACAUCACAGGUACAGGUAGGUAAUUGCUCUAAGCACAGAACAGGUUAACUUCACAGCGCUGGGGGAUCUUCGUGUCCACAGGACAUCACAGGUACAGGUAGGUAAUUGCUCUAAGCACAGAACAGGUUAACUUCACAGGUCACGUUACUCACAGCACUGGGGAUUUUCGUUCGCACACAGAGCUUCACUUGUACAGGUAGGUAUUUGCUAUAAGCACAGAACAGGUUUACUUUACAGGUCACGUUACUCACAGCACUGGGGAUCUUCGUACACACACAGA